GCUCACUAAAAGUUCUCUGGUAGCAGAAACACUGGAGAUUUUUUAUAUUUGCUUUUAAUUUUUACAACAAACAUGUGAAAGCAUAAAAGCAAACUUUUAAGAUGCCAAUUAUAAAUAUAAUGGGAAGAACAGUCUAAAAUACUUUUAAAAAAAUAAAAUAAGAUACUGUAUAUUAUAAGUUCCUAGAACACUCACUAUUGGCAGAAAACUAUCUGAAAGAUUCUUCUUUGGUAAAAUUAGACACUAAUACACAGCUGGCCUUUCAUGUAAGGACACUUCAAAUGUUAUAGGAAAGAAGUUAAAGAGGAUAUAGAACAGGAUUAGAAGACAUGUUCCCACUUCCAUAAACACACGCAUUUUAGAGGAAUGAGUCUGACCUUCU
RNAcentral lists this long non-coding RNA (382 nucleotides) under Bos taurus (domestic cattle). RNAcentral describes it as "long non-coding RNA NONBTAT021569". Lineage: Eukaryota; Metazoa; Chordata; Mammalia; Artiodactyla; Bovidae. The record is from RNAcentral.